Molecule: ribosomal RNA, 665 nt
Filed under: uncultured bacterium
Lineage: Bacteria
Description: bacterial SSU rRNA
Rfam family: Bacterial small subunit ribosomal RNA
Source: RNAcentral
UGCAAGUCGAGCGGCAGCGCGGGGGCACCCUGGCGGCGAGCGGCGGACGGGUGAGGAAUGCAUCGGAAUCUACCUCGUUGUGGGGGAUAACCUCGGGAAACCGGGACUAAUACCGCAUACGACCUACGGGUGAAAGUGGGGGACCUUCGGGCCUCACGCGAUGAGAUGAGCCGAUGCCGGAUUAGCUAGUUGGCGGGGUAAAGGCCCACCAAGGCGACGAUCCGUAGCUGGUCUGAGAGGAUGAUCAGCCACACUGGAACUGAGACACGGUCCAGACUCCUACGGGAGGCAGCAGUGGGGAAUAUUGGACAAUGGGCGCAAGCCUGAUCCAGCCAUGCCGCGUGUGUGAAGAAGGCCUUCGGGUUGUAAAGCACUUUUGUUGGGGAAGAAACCGGCCGGAUUAAUACUUCGGCUGAAUGACGGUACCCAAAGAAUAAGCACCGGCUAACUUCGUGCCAGCAGCCGCGGUAAUACGAAGGGUGCAAGCGUUACUCGGAAUUACUGGGCGUAAAGCGUGCGUAGGCGGUUUGUUAAGUCUGUCGUGAAAGCCCCGGGCUCAACCUGGGAAUGGCGAUGGAUACUGGCAAGCUAGAGUGUGUCAGAGGAUGGUGGAAUUCCCGGUGUAGCGGUGAAAUGCGUAGAGAUCGGGAGGAACACCAGUGGCG